UAAGCAAAGCGGAGGAAGCUGGACUUCUGGGGCUCAGCAGAAGCAGCUGGACCCUAAGAGGGACUUUUCAAGUGGGUGUAAGAAGAUGAAAACCUAGAGGCUCAUGGGAAGGGGAGUGACAGGUGCAUGGGAAAGCCGACAGCUGAGUUCCCAGCCCAUCUCCAGCCAUGAGGAUCCUUUACCUUCUGCUUCUUGUUCUCUUCCUCAGCCUCCAGGCAGCUCAAGGAAGCUUUUUAUUUAGAGGCACUCGGAAAUGUAAAAGCAACUGGUCUCGUACGGGUGGCCAGUGCCGACUGUGGGGCUGCAGAUUUGGUGAGGAACGGACUGGAACAUGCCUGGCAGGGGUCAUGAUCUAUUGCCACCCGAAGCACUAACCCAUCCCCCACAUGCUGAGUUGUGCAGCUGCAGAACGGAGACGAGUGACAGCAAGAGCCACGUAGACCGUAAGCUCCAGGGACCUCUGGGUGCUGCACCGAGCCCCCCCUGGGCACUCAGACAAUAAAUAAAACAAUCAAUCCGUGUCCGUUGGUGCCUCGAUGCUGUGCUGAUGGACUCUCUAAGCAGGCCACGGAACACAGAUGAAAGCAAGAGCCUGAUUCUCCACCUGCCUGCCUUGCCUGGAGUGCCAUAGCUCUGUGCCGAGUGGGGGUGGAAGGACGCCCCACGAGAAUGGUAGCUGAUUGCAGAAGGCGCAAGGCCAUGGACAAUCAGUCCCAAGCCAUUAAAUCAUCUUUCUUUGGUAAAAAUGAAUGCAUGUGUGACCUACAUGCAGGAUGAGCCAGGCUGGGCCCCUUGUCAAAGGGGCAGCUCCUGAAGGGGUGGGGUCUCUGGCAGAAGGGAUA
Molecule: non-coding RNA, 842 nt
Organism: Pelodiscus sinensis (Chinese soft-shelled turtle)
Lineage: Eukaryota; Metazoa; Chordata; Testudines; Trionychidae
Source: RefSeq, a predicted model, not a curated record